GUCUAUAGCCAUGUCACCCUGAACAUGCCUAACCUCUUCUGAUCUCGGAAGCUAAGCAGGGUUGGGCCUGGUUAGUACUUGGAUGGGAGACCACCUAGGAAUACCAGGUGCUGUAGGCG
Molecule: ribosomal RNA, 119 nt
Filed under: Pteropus alecto (black flying fox)
Lineage: Eukaryota; Metazoa; Chordata; Mammalia; Chiroptera; Pteropodidae
Source: RNAcentral